UAGCAUCGUGGUAAAUAUUAUCUUGACCAUGAUGAUGAAUAUGUUAUCAUCUGUGAUGUAGAGCUACAUGAUUGUCAUCUAGUAGUUUUUUUAUAAUUUGUUUCUUUUUUUGCUUUUAAAGGUCAUAGAACUCUGUGAUUAAGCUUCUCUGUACUAAGUUUAAAAGUAUGAAUUUGUUCUUUGAAUGAGCAAGCUGUGUCUCUGAAACUGAGGAAUGAGUCCCUGUUUCACAGCACAAUUUUGCUUUUAUUUUCACCGUCUUCAUAGAAAACACUCGUGAGUUAUAUGAGGAUGUUUCUCACAGACAUUUAAUUUUUAAUAAACGGUCACUAGGUACUAAACUGAUAUUAUAUAAACGAAUAACACAAUAAGUGGUAAGAGGAAGCUGUUCAUGAUAUGAUUUGCAAGAUGGUUACCCUAUACAUUUAACACUUUUCUUACACAUAUAAUGUUAGCCAGUGUUUUUGUUUUUGUUUUUGUUUUGGCCGUGUCACGUGGUUUGCAGGAUCUUAGUUCCCUGACCAAGGAUCUAACCCGUGCCCCAUGCAGUAGAGGCGUGGAGUCCUAACCACUGGACCUCCAGGGAAUUCCCCACACACAAUUUUAAAGGAUUUGAGUAUAAACUAUGUUUACAUGCAUGUUUGUUAAUCCAAAUAAAUUUUUAUAUAGUAGCAAAGGGGCAGAGAUGAAAACAAUACCAUAUAGUAGUUUUUAUGUGCUGUUUUAAAACUGUACUCCCAGGAUCCUUAGGACUGAAACAAUAGUAUUGAACCUUUAUGUUUCCAGCUCUAUGAAUGAUUCAUUCUCUAUGAUCUUUUCUGUAGCUACUAAAGUUGUUCAAUUUAUAAGAAAACAAACAAAAAAAAAAUCGAGGGAUCAAGACAAUGUGUGGUCAUGUUCAGUAAACCCAAAUAUUACUGGUGGGGAAAUGCCCCUGGAAAGUGUAGGAUGAGAAGACCUUUGGAUAAAGACAGAGCUACUUUACAACAACUGGGGACAAGAUGAAUUUUCAACUGUGGACUUGUUUCAUGCAAAAAUGCUUGGAGGAUUUGGGAAUUUAGUUGGAAAGUUGUAUCCAGAAUGGAAUCUAAACAUAACAUAUUCUUCAAGUGCACUUGAUGGAAAUGCAAAUUGAGGUUUCAUGAAUGCCUGUGUUUUCUUUGAAUCUUUGCUUUAAUAAACCAGUUUUCCUUACUUUAUGAUACAUUAUGUACUACCACUAGUAAAUUUGAGCCAGUCAUGUAUUCAGAUCUUUUGCUCUUUUACCUAGAACUGCCUUCCCCUUUCAACAUUCUCUUUCAUAACCUGAAACAUAAAGAGGGUAGCAUUCAUCCAUCCAUUCAUGACUUUCAUACAUUGCAAGGUAGAGUUACUUGUGUAAUUCAAAGGUUGGAAAUGACUUGCCAUUUUAGAAGGUAAAGAUCAAAGUCAUGCCUUAAACUGUAGCCUAAAAAAGUGUUACUCUCCAAUAUGAUCUGCAGUUUAAUAUUUAUUUUAGAUGUUUUAAGUUAUGAGAGGUGCCCCUGACAUUCUCUGAAUCCAUUAAAACCUGACUACCAUUUAUCAGUGGCUUCAUUCAUUCAUUCCAUGUGUGUGUUCAUUAUCCAUUCAUGCACUGACACAUUUGUAUGCUGGUUUAUGGAAGAUGAAUUAAAAAUAGUUCAAGUUCUCUUGGGAGUUUGGGACUAGCAGAUGCAAACUAUUAUACAUAGGAUGGAUAAACAGCAAGGUCCUAUAAUAAACCAUAAUAGAAAAGAAAAAAAAUAACUAUGGGUAUCUAUAUAUGGUGACAUCAUAACUAGACUUACUGUGGUGAUCAUUUUGAAAUGCAUAGAAAUAUUGAAUCACUGUAUUGUACACCAAGAACUAACAUAGUGCUGUAGGUCAAUUAUACUUCAAAAACAAAAAAACAAACUUAUAGAAAAAGAGAUGAGAUUUGUGGUUACCCUAGGUGGAAGGGGGAACUGGAUGAAGACAGUGAAAGGUACAAACUUAUUUAUAAGAUAAAUAUUAGAGAUGUAAUGUACAACAUGAUAAAUAUAAUUAACACGGCUAUAUGUUAUAUAUGAAAGUUGUUAAGACUAAAUCCUAAGAGUUCUCAUCACAAGAAAAAAAAUCUUUUUUCUAUUUCUUUAAUUUUGUAUCUAUAUGAGAUGAUGGAUGUUCACUAAACUUACUGUGAUACUCAUUUCAUGAUGCAUGUAAGUCAAAUCAUUAUUGCUGUACAGCUUAAACUUAGUACUAUAUGUC
Phocoena sinus (vaquita) is the source of this 2250-nucleotide long non-coding RNA. Lineage: Eukaryota; Metazoa; Chordata; Mammalia; Artiodactyla; Phocoenidae. The record is from Ensembl.